GGACUACCAGGGUUUCUAAUCCUGUUUGCUCCCCACGCUUUCGCGUCUCAGCGUCAGCAACGAUCCAGAGGGCCGCCUUCGCCGCCGGUGUUCCUCCUGAUAUCUACGCAUUUCACCGCUACACCAGGAAUUCCACCCUCCUCUAUCGCGCUCCAGUCAGCUAGUUUCCGAUGCACUUCCGGAGCUGAGCCCCGGGCUUUCACACCAGACUUGACCAACCGCCUACACGCCCUUUACGCCCAGUCAAUCCGAACAACGCUUGCACCCUCCGUCUUACCGCGGCUGCUGGCAC
Molecule: ribosomal RNA, 292 nt
Filed under: uncultured bacterium
Lineage: Bacteria
Description: partial 16S ribosomal RNA
Source: RNAcentral